Molecule: long non-coding RNA, 431 nt
Filed under: Ananas comosus (pineapple)
Lineage: Eukaryota; Viridiplantae; Streptophyta; Magnoliopsida; Poales; Bromeliaceae
Description: long non-coding RNA (ACOM_LNC008991)
Source: RNAcentral
GGUGGGUUUGGCUUCAUGAAAACGGGGCGAAACGGCCCCUAAGCAUUCUAAACUCUUUGUAUACUGUUUUUGAAUGCAUAUUUAUGCUAAGUAGUAUUUAUGUGAAUUUUGGAACCCCUGAAAUACAUGUGUUAUGUAUAAGAGAAUUUUCACUCUAUAUGGUAGAGCGUUCUGGGUAUUGUUGCAUGCAUUCGGGUAGAGCUCUUGCUAGUCAUUUGGAAACGCGCUUUAUAUGCUUAGAAUGGUUCAGUUAUGUAAUUAUGAACAUUUGGGAUGAUCUUGAACUUAGUGAAUGAAAGUGUCAUAAAGGGGCACUUAGACUAGCACUUAUGAGACUAUCGUAUUGAGACAUAGAAUUAGGCCACUUGAACAUCUAUUAUUUUCCAUGUUGUAGACAUGAUGACAUAGAGAUAGGCCUAUGUGAGAGUUGU